This is a long non-coding RNA of Alligator mississippiensis (American alligator), 789 nucleotides long. RefSeq lists it as uncharacterized. The transcript has 3 exons. The record is from RefSeq and is a predicted model, not a curated record. NCBI's taxonomy places the organism in Eukaryota, Metazoa, Chordata, Crocodylia, Alligatoridae.
UCUGUUCACCGCAGUUACAGUGGCAAAUCAUUCCCUUCCUGCCUAAAGGGCAUAUGAAUACUCGAUUUGUCAGGAUUGGCUAUUCAGAUUCCAACUACUGUAACGUAAAGGCCUUCUUCAGCGAUCCCUUACAGUCGAGGAUGAUUGUCUUUCAUAACUGUCUUAUCUAUGUGACCAAAGAUGGCUGAUGAGGCCUAUCUGGGAUCAGAUACUAGCUAUGCUAGUUCUACAGCAGUUAACAAGGAUGAACGGCAAAAGUACUCUACUUGCUGCCAUUACUGAAUACUGUACUGCUUUAAUACGUCUCUUUUAGGAGGAAAGUCUGGAACAUUGACACUUUUUAAAUUCUUACUGCUUCACUUCCCAUAAUGCCAGAAUCCCAUGGAAAAUCACCCAUGUUUUGUAAUGAAACCUUCUAAGCCUGUGUAACCUCACAGCUACUCAUUUUGUUUAAGCGAAAACAAACCACAGCUUCAGUUCUGCCUCCUGUUGGGGUUCUAAAUUUUGGCAGUUUUUAUCACUCACAGGAAAAAUUCCUAUGAAUCACAAGUAAAACAUCAAAGGAGCUGUUACUCCCAGUUUAGGAUGAUAGGAAGUUUGUACAAUCCUCAGGAUACACAGUCAGACAAUGCCCAGAUAUGAACUGUUCUAGAAAAGCCUAAGUAUUUCUGCUUUACCUUUGGCACCUGGUCUUCCCAACUCUAACACCCCCUUUCUGUGCUCUACAGACAACUCCACUUCUUUCAAGACCUUUGUACAAAUAUCAGUUUAGAUAAUAAAUAAAUAAAU